UACGGAGGGGGCUAGCGUUGUUCGGAAUUACUGGGCGUAAAGCGCACGUAGGCGGACUUGAAAGUCAGAGGUGAAAUCCCAGGGCUCAACCUUGGAACUGCCUUUGAAACUUCUGGUCUUGAGGUCGAGAGAGGUGAGUGGAAUUCCGAGUGUAGAGGUGAAAUUCGUAGAUAUUCGGAGGAACACCAGUGGCGAAGGCGGCUCACUGGCCCGAUACUGCCGCUGAGGCGCGAAAGCGUGGGGAGCAAACAGG
RNAcentral lists this ribosomal RNA (253 nucleotides) under uncultured bacterium. RNAcentral's name for it is "partial 16S ribosomal RNA". It matches the Rfam family "Bacterial small subunit ribosomal RNA", at positions 524 to 776 of the family's 1533-position model. The record is from RNAcentral.